RNAcentral lists this ribosomal RNA (462 nucleotides) under uncultured bacterium. Its description in RNAcentral is "partial 16S ribosomal RNA". It matches the Rfam family "Bacterial small subunit ribosomal RNA", at positions 28 to 507 of the family's 1533-position model. The record is from RNAcentral.
GAUAAACGCUGGCGGCGUGCUUAACACAUGCAAGUCGAACGAAGUUUUUCCUUCGGGAGCAACUUAGUGGCGGACGGGUGAGUAACGCGUGGGUAACCUGCCCUGUACAGGGGGACAACAGCUGGAAACGGCUGCUAAUACCGCAUAAGCACUUAGCACUGCAUGGUGCAUAGGGAAAAGGAGCAAUCCGGUACAGGAUGGACCCGCGUCUGAUUAGCCAGUUGGAAGGGUAACGGCCUACCAAAGCGACGAUCAGUAGCCGAUCUGAGAGGAUGUACGGCCACAUUGGGACUGAGACACGGCCCAGACUCCUACGGGAGGCAGCAGUGGGGAAUAUUGCACAAUGGAGGAAACUCUGAUGCAGCGACGCCGCGUGAGUGAAGAAGUAUUUCGGUAUGUAAAGCUCUAUCAGCAGGGAAGAAAAUGACGGUACCUGACUAAGAAGCACCGGCUAAAUACGUG